RNAcentral lists this ribosomal RNA (397 nucleotides) under uncultured bacterium. RNAcentral's name for it is "partial 16S ribosomal RNA". It matches the Rfam family "Bacterial small subunit ribosomal RNA", at positions 523 to 918 of the family's 1533-position model. The record is from RNAcentral.
AUACGUAGGGGGCGAGCGUUGUCCGGAAUGAUUGGGCGUAAAGGGCGCGUAGGCGGCCCGGUAAGUCUGGAGUGAAAGUCCUGUUUUUAAGAUGGGAAUUGCUUUGGAUACUGUCGGGCUUGAGUGCAGGAGAGGUAAGUGGAAUUCCCAGUGUAGCGGUGAAAUGCGUAGAGAUUGGGAGGAACACCAGUGGCGAAGGCGACUUACUGGACUGUAACUGACGCUGAGGCGCGAAAGUGUGGGGAACAAACAGGAUUAGAUACCCUGGUAGUCCACACUGUAAACGAUGAAUGCUAGGUGUAGGGGGUAUCGACCCCUUCUGUGCCGCAGUCAACACAAUAAGCAUUCCGCCUGGGGAGUACGGCCGCAAGGUUGAAACUCAAAUGAAUUGGCGGGG